AUUUCUUGACAUUUGUGUGUUGUUUAGCAAAGAAGAAGGAGACUCUAGGCAAGAGGAGGCAAAGGGGACUGCUAUUUGGUGGAUUUGAAGCUUGUCCCUUCAAUCUAAAGGAGGAUUAGAGCUCGGAGGAUCGAGCACGAGGGAUUUCCAGGGAUCGUGAGAUACCGAGACGCGCGAGGUACUAGCGAUGACCGUGGGAAGGCGCCGGCUUGAUCUGUACACACGCAGGGGACUUUGAUAUAUUUACAUUGAUCUUGGGAUUUUUGUGUAAUGAGAAUUGAGAUUUAAAAUCUGAUGUUUUAUGGAAAAUGAAUGAGAAAUGUUUCUAU
Long non-coding RNA from Lactuca sativa (garden lettuce), 329 nucleotides. RefSeq lists it as uncharacterized. The record is from RefSeq and is a predicted model, not a curated record. NCBI's taxonomy places the organism in Eukaryota, Viridiplantae, Streptophyta, Magnoliopsida, Asterales, Asteraceae.